Molecule: ribosomal RNA, 425 nt
Filed under: uncultured Lachnospiraceae bacterium
Lineage: Bacteria; Bacillati; Bacillota; Clostridia; Lachnospirales; Lachnospiraceae
Description: bacterial SSU rRNA
Rfam family: Bacterial small subunit ribosomal RNA
Source: RNAcentral
UGGGGGAAUAUUGCACAAUGGGGGGAAACCCUGAUGCAGCGACGCCGCGUGGAGGAAGAAGGUCUUCGGAUUGUAAACUCCUGUCGUUGGGGACGAUAAUGACGGUACCCAACAAGAAAGCCCCGGCUAACUACGUGCCAGCAGCCGCGGUAAUACGUAGGGGGCAAGCGUUAUCCGGAUUUACUGGGUGUAAAGGGAGCGCAGGCGGCGAAGCAAGCCAGAGGUGAAAACCCGGGGCUCAACCCCGAGGAUUGCCUUUGGAACUGUUUUGCUUGAGUGCUGGAGGGGCAGGCGGAAUUCCUGGUGUAGCGGUGAAAUGCGUAGAUAUCAGGAGGAACACCGGUGGCGAAGGCGGCCCGCUGGACAGUAACUGACGCUGAGGCUCGAAAGCGUGGGGAGCAAACAGGAUUAGAUACCCUGGUAGU